Non-coding RNA from Arvicanthis niloticus (Nile rat), 3160 nucleotides. NCBI's taxonomy places the organism in Eukaryota, Metazoa, Chordata, Mammalia, Rodentia, Muridae. The record is from RefSeq and is a predicted model, not a curated record.
GCGCGGUGGAGCUUUAGGUGACGUGUGGAGACAGAAAAAAAAAAACUGUCAAGGAACUCAGACCAUUGAGUACAUGUCACUUGAAUGAACCUGAAGAAUCUGGUUUAUUGGGUCAGCUGACAGCAGAAAAUGAAAAGUAGUGUGGCACACAUGAAAUCCUCUGGCCACGACAGAAGGGAGAGCCACAGUUCAUACCACCGGAGUUCCUCCCCAGAAGACAGAUAUACAGAACAAGAACGGUCCCCCCGGGAUAGAGACUACUCUGAUUACAGCCGGUCAGACUAUGAGCGAUCUAGAAGAGGAUACUCUUACGAUGACAGCAUGGAGUCACGAAGUAGGGAUCGAGAAAAACGCCGAGAAAGAGACAGAGAUGCAGAGCAUCGUAAACGGUCCCGGAAAUCCCCAUCUCCUGAAAGAAGGAGCCCAGACCGAGGAGUUACCCAGAGUUCUACGCAUGAAGAACCUACAUCGAAGAAGAAGAAGGAUGAGCUGGAUCCGUUGCUCACCCGCACUGGGGGAGCAUAUAUUCCUCCUGCAAAGCUCAGGAUGAUGCAGGAACAGAUUACAGAUAAAAACAGCUUAGCAUACCAGAGGAUGAGCUGGGAGGCUCUGAAGAAAUCCAUCAAUGGUCUCAUCAACAAGGUCAACAUCUCCAACAUCAGUAUUAUCAUCCAAGAGCUCCUUCAAGAGAACAUUGUCAGAGGGAGAGGAUUGCUGUCCAGAUCUGUCCUGCAAGCACAGAGUGCAUCUCCGAUCUUCACUCAUGUUUAUGCAGCUUUGGUGGCAAUAAUCAACUCAAAAUUCCCACAGAUUGGAGAAUUGAUCCUCAAGAGACUAAUUCUUAAUUUUCGGAAAGGCUAUCGAAGGAAUGAUAAGCAACUUUGCCUGACUGCUUCAAAAUUUGUGGCACAUCUUAUUAACCAAAAUGUGGCACAUGAGGUUCUGUGCCUGGAGAUGCUCACUUUGCUGCUAGAGAGACCCACAGAUGACAGUGUUGAAGUAGCUAUUGGCUUCCUCAAGGAGUGUGGUCUCAAAUUAACCCAGGUGUCGCCAAGGGGAAUCAAUGCAAUCUUUGAACGCCUGCGAAACAUUCUACAUGAGUCUGAGAUCGACAAGAGAGUUCAGUACAUGAUUGAAGUGAUGUUUGCUGUACGGAAGGAUGGAUUCAAGGACCACCCUGUUAUUCUGGAAGGACUGGAUUUGGUGGAAGAGGACGAUCAGUUUACACAUAUGCUCCCCUUGGAGGAUGACUACAAUCCAGAAGAUGUUCUUAAUGUUUUCAAGAUGGAUCCUAAUUUCAUGGAGAAUGAGGAGAAGUACAAGGCUAUUAAAAAAGAAAUCCUUGAUGAAGGAGACAGUGAUUCAAACACAGACCAAGAAGCUGGAAGUAGUGAAGAUGAGGAGGAAGAAGAGGAGGAAGAAGAAGGAGAAGAAGAUGGAGGACAAAAAGUAACUAUUCAUGACAAAACAGAAAUCAACCUAGUCUCCUUUCGCCGUACAAUAUAUCUUGCCAUUCAGUCAAGUUUAGAUUUUGAAGAAUGUGCACACAAGUUGCUGAAAAUGGAGUUUGCUGAGAGCCAAACAAAAGAACUCUGCAACAUGAUACUUGAUUGUUGUGCCCAACAAAGGACCUAUGAAAAAUUUUUUGGCUUGUUAGCUGGGCGAUUUUGUAUGCUGAAAAAAGAAUACAUGGAAUCAUUUGAAAGUAUAUUCAAGGAACAGUAUGAUACCAUUCAUCGCUUAGAGACAAACAAACUGAGAAAUGUUGCUAAGAUGUUUGCUCACCUUUUAUACACAGAUUCACUUCCAUGGAGUGUUCUCGAAUGUAUAAAGCUGAGUGAAGAGACCACGACAUCAUCUAGUAGGAUUUUUGUCAAGAUCUUCUUCCAGGAAUUGUGUGAAUACAUGGGUCUUCCUAAACUGAAUGCGAGGUUAAAGGAUGAAACUCUUCAGCCAUUCUUUGAAGGACUGUUACCCCGAGACAACCCUCGCAAUACCCGGUUUGCCAUCAACUUCUUCACUUCCAUAGGUCUUGGAGGAUUGACGGAUGAACUUCGAGAACAUCUGAAAAAUACACCUAAGGUCAUCGUAGCCCAGAAGCCAGAAGCUGAGCAAAAGAAACCAGCCCUGACAUCCUCAUCUUCAGAGUCUUCCUCGGCGUCUGAUUCCUCUGACUCGGAUUCUGAUAGCAGUGAGAGCAGCUCAGAGUCCUCCAGUGAAGCGAGCGACUCCUCUUCCUCCAGCAGUCAGAGCUCUGCCUCAGCUAAAGGUACAAGAAAGAAGAGACAAGGGAAGCUCAGAGGCGAAGAAGUAGAUAAGUUAGCCAGGGGCCACCAGGCACGAGACAGGAGGCGAGAAGGAGGCAGAGAGGACCAAAGGCACCAGGAAGGGAGGACUGAGAGAGCAAGGCCUGAAAGACACCGAGCUCAGAACUCACGAGAUGCAGACUGGCGAGAUUCCCUAGCAAAGCACAUGGAGGACAGAAGCCGUGAGAAUAGUUACAGCAGAGUUGGCAAUGGCCGAGAACAAGGCUCCCACAGAGAGCCAGAAGACAGGCAUGGUGAGCCAAAGAAGAAGCGGCGAGAGAGAAGAGGUUCUUUUUCUGAAAAUGAGAAGCAAAGAACCCGAAAUCAGGACAGUGACAAUGUUAGAAGAAAAGACCGCUCCAAGUCGAGAGAGAGGGGUAGAAAGCACUGUGGUCAUGACGGAGCUGAUGGCAGCUGUCAGAACGGUGCCGAGGGACGCUGGGACAAGCCUAGCCGAUACCCUGAACAUUCUAGAGAAUCAAAGAGAAGUCAGGACCGGAGGAGAGAAAAGUCUCCAACAAAACAAAAAUAAUUCUAAUGACAACUGAAGCUGCCUUAUAUACAAUCCAAUGUCUUUUUACAUCAAUGGAUUUUAUAGAGAACUCUUAUAUAAAGGACCUGUUUGUAAAUUUUAAAGAUGUUUUCUUUUUGACAUGUUUUAUAAUUGAUAAUAUCUCAAGGUCCUUUGUGUAAAAUCAUAAAGAAAAGGGAUUCAACAAAGGGCUGUGGCUGAAGCCUCUUCUCGACAGACGCUUUGAUCACUGCCCACCCAGCUCACUUGGCCUCACACCACCAUUCUCUGACUUCUCAGCUCUUCAGAAUUGUCAUCUGUUGACUUGUUGGUACCUUGUCAC